This 332-nucleotide ribosomal RNA is filed under the name uncultured eukaryote. RNAcentral's name for it is "partial 18S ribosomal RNA". It matches the Rfam family "Eukaryotic small subunit ribosomal RNA", at positions 592 to 976 of the family's 1831-position model. The record is from RNAcentral.
CAAUAGCGUAUAUUAAAGUUGUUGCAGUUAAAAAGCUCGUAGUUGAAUUUCGGGUCCCCGCGCUCGGCGCUUCAUUGUGCCGUCGUGGUGUCCCUCCUCGCCGUAAGGCGUCCUUUACUGUGAAAAAAUUAGAGUGUUCAAAGCAGGCAAUCGCUUGAAUACAUUAGCAUGGAAUAAUAAGAUAGGAUCUUGUCUAUUUUGUUGGUUGCGGACAACGAUAAUGAUUAAUAGGGAUAGUUGGGGGUGUCCGUAUUGAGCUGUCAGAGGUGAAAUUCUUGGAUUUGCUCAAGGCGAACUACUGCGAAAGCAUUCACCAAGGAUGUUUUCAUUAA